GCAAAUUUGAAAGGGCAUUUUUUUUUCUUUCUUUUUCAUUUUAUUCCUUUCAGCAUGCUUUCUGUUACAAAUACAUCUGGAGUAGUUACAUGGACACAGUGCCAGUAACAUGCCCUAUGUGGCUGCAGAAUUAAGGAAGAAACAUCUGGAAUCAACUUCUAUUUCCUUCAGUACUUCCAGAAAUAACCAUGGACCUAUAUGACGGCCAGAAUGGUAAGGAAUAAACGUAGAGAGCGGGUAUAAAAGGACCGAGAGACUCCAGGAGUGAGCAUGGGAUGUGACUCAGAGGAAACCUGGCUGGGGAUAAGAAAAUGGGACAUGGAGCCAUUCAGUCUGAUUAUUUGGGCCUGCAGUCACCAACAUAAGUGCUAAGGGAUGGCCUUUCCCUGACUUAUGUGAAAGAAAUGGAUGGACUUGGUAACCUUCUAUUGUACAGGCCCAAGGAAUUUUUCCUAAAGGUUUAUUUCAUGUCCCAUAAGGAUAAAAGAUCUGCACUGAAGAUUUUGGAAGACAUAUGAACCCUUUAAAGGCUAGUACCAGGAGCCUGCAGGUCUGAAAGGUGAACAAUCAGCAGAGGAAAUCAGUAAUGUAACAAGAGUUUAAUUAACUUUACCCAAAUGAAUGUUAACUUACUUGUUCUUCUCCUUUGCCUUUUUCUAUAUUUAACAUAUCUUUCUCUGUCUGGUUAUUUAUUAGUUGGAUAAAUCUUAAAAAGAAAAAAAAGAAAAUCUUUAUUUCAGUAAAAUCCUGUUUUCAUUGGAGCAGCUCUAAGUCUGUCAGGAAGAAAAAGCUCUGGUCUUUUAUGGUUUUGUUUUGCCAUACUUACUGCACUGGGCUUCAAGUCUGUCUUGAGUCCAUGAGCAAAAUGUAUCUGAUGGCAACUAAUGUUAUAUGGGGUACGGUCUUUGUCAUGCAGAAGAGCUAAAACACAAAAAAAAAAAAAGAAAAAAAAUCCUGGCUAAAAUAGGUGACAAUGACUUGCACUGUGUUGAAGCCAGACAUUUAUUCUGUAAACACAGGAGAUUAUAUUCCCUUGUAAAUAAACACACUAUAACAUAUAGAUGGCUCAUGCCCUCUUUUGCUUGAUGAAGGAAACUUCUUUCAGUUCAUCUACAUUCAUAUUGCCUCAAAGCCAUUGGCAUCCAGAUGCCCUUUUGAGGACUGUGCUGUUCAAAAUGAACUAAUGGCAGGACUCAACCAGCCUUGGUGAAGGCAGCUCAUCAUGUAGUAAUAUAUUUCAGUGGCUCUUCUAGCACUACUGAUGUCACUGUCUAAUUCACUCUGAUGGGCUGACUCCUCUGCAGUGAUAUGCUGAUUUUGGUAUGUUACUGAAGUCACCAAAGAGCACGUAAUAAAUGUGACAUUUUGUGAUGAAAUUAUUUUUUUGUUAAAGACACUUUUUAAACUGAA
Long non-coding RNA from Struthio camelus australis, 1410 nucleotides. RefSeq lists it as uncharacterized. NCBI's taxonomy places the organism in Eukaryota, Metazoa, Chordata, Aves, Struthioniformes, Struthionidae. The record is from RefSeq and is a predicted model, not a curated record.